GCCAGUGUGGUGUAGUGGUUUGAAUGUAGGACUAUGACUCUGGAGAUGAGAGUUUGAAUCCCUACUCAGUCA
Non-coding RNA from Phrynosoma platyrhinos (Desert horned lizard), 72 nucleotides. The record is from the annotation of a GenBank genome assembly. Lineage: Eukaryota; Metazoa; Chordata; Lepidosauria; Squamata; Phrynosomatidae.